Mauremys reevesii (Reeves's turtle) is the source of this 4072-nucleotide RNA transcript. It is a transcript of the gene named TAFA chemokine like family member 5, with no coding region annotated. NCBI's taxonomy places the organism in Eukaryota, Metazoa, Chordata, Testudines, Geoemydidae. The transcript is spliced from 5 exons. The record is from RefSeq and is a predicted model, not a curated record.
CGGGGCGGGGGCAGAUCCCUCCAGGCUGUGAACCAGUGAAGACAACCCACCUUUGCUCUGAGAUGGGCAGGCAGGAGCCCGCGCUGCUGCCAUAGAGCCGGAGGGAGGGCUCGCCCCCUUUGCUUCUAUCCGCUCGCUCCCCGCCCGCUGCUGCGCACCUGCAGCCCAGCUCAGGCGUCCUCUAGCGGGAAGCGGCCGCCCUGGAGCCUGGAUUCCGUGCGACUCUCCCACCCGCAAGGGGUUAAACGCUUCCGACGCGGUUUCGGUGUCGGAACGAGCGCGGAGCGGAGGAGAGAGAGCCGGGAAGCGGGGACCUGCGAGAAGCUGCGGUGCCAGGCAGCGAGAGGCGCCUAAGGAGCCGGCAUGGGCCAGCGGGGGGAAAGCGCCCUGCGCGCCCACCCGCUGUGACGGCCGCCUGGCGUGGCGCGCCCAGGCUGGGCUUGGCCGGGGCAGCUCCGGAGCGCCCUUCACCUGUGGGCGUGACCCGCUUCCCCCUCCCUCCUGGGAUUGCCAGGGCCGCCGCCGCAGCCGGGGCUGCAGCAGCAGAGGCGCCAAGGGGCUGAGAGCGGAGCCGGUGCUUGGAGCGAAGCGGCCAGGGGGAGCUGCGGCGGCGGCCCCAGCGCCUCUGUGUAAAGUGUCCCGUGAGCCAGGGAUUCUUGCUGCCCCUUCUCCAUCCAAGCCCCGAGCAGCCGGCGGGAGGGGAGACCUGGCUCGGCUGGCAGCGCCUGCUCCGGGGCUCCCCGGCCGGCGUGUCUGCCUGGCUCUGCCGCCGUUCCCAGCUGUUGGCAGGCGCAGCUCCCAGCCCAGCCCAGCCCCCGCCGGCCUUGGGAGCGGAUCUGCCUGAGUUCCCUGCCGCUGUGGAGUUACCGGCAGUCACCUGGCCAGCCGGGGGCGGCCCGUGAAUCGGCCCCCACCCCGUGUGCUGCGCCCCAAUGCUGGAUGGGACUGUGAAGUAGCUGCAGUUGGGCAGGGAGUUACCCUAAAGCUGCAUUUGGGCUGGAAAGUGGGGAGGUUUCCAUCCGAGUCUCCUCGUGACUGUAAGUGAUUUAAGAAAAUUCAGGGGGUGGCUUUUUUUUCCCGCGGGGAGGGGGCGGAAACGAGCAAACCAACAAAAAACUUUCUCAAAUAAAAAGCCUAAUUUGUGGCUCAGUAGCACUAGGCAUCUUAACCCCAACAACAUCCAAAACGCUAGUGAAUCGGUGCCACUGUACAGGAGGAAACCCAUCGGAAGCCCCCCCCCCAAGCACAGAGGUUUUUCGAUGCUUUAGAAUUAUUUUGCUUUCUCGCUGAAAGAUGCUUCCUGCAGGGUUGCCGAUGCUCAACCCUUGGAUCUUGUGAAGAUGUUUUUCUUUGGGAUUACACGUGGAGAAAGGCGAUCCGUCAAGGGGAGAACUGGCUGGUGAAACUAACUGACAUUCUUGCUCCGGGGAAGUGGUUUCAAUGGCUUCAUCUCCCAGGACAAGCAGUAGAAAAGAUGCCAACGCAUUGCCAAGCAUGUCCUCAACUUUCUGGGCAAUCAUGAUCCUGGCUAGUCUUCUAAUCGCCUACUGCAGUCAACUGGCUGCAGGUACAUGUGAGAUUGUUACUUUGGACAGAGAUAGCAGCCAGCCCCGAAGGACUAUAGCCCGACAAACAGCUCGCUGUGCAUGUAAAAAAGGACAGAUUGCCGGUACAACAAGAGCAAGGCCAGCCUGCGUGGAUGCACGAAUUAUCAAAACAAAACAGUGGUGUGAAAUGCUUCCAUGUUUAGAAGGAGAAGGCUGUGAUUUGCUAAUCAAUAAAUCAGGCUGGACCUGUACACAACCGGGUGGGCGAAUAAAGACAACCACGAAAUCUGAUCACCACAGAACUCCUUGCCAAAAUUCAACAGAAACCAGGGGGUAUUGGGGAUCUUGCCAAAGAAUUUAGAUCCAAUAUGCUGCACAAUACACAGGGCUCUGCCUCUGAUAGACAGCGACACACUGGUCUCCUGACAAAUGCAGCAGCAAAGAAUUCUCGUAUGAGUGGUCUAGGUUCUGUGUGAGCUACUUACCUUAGUCAAGUUUCACUGCUGUGGAUCAUCAUCCAUUAUAUGUCAUCAAUUCAACUGUCUGUUUCUCUAUAUCUCAUAAAAGACAGCAUAAUUCCUCUACAUUAUGAGCUAAAAGUCUGUUCUACCAUUCUAAGGAGCACUGGACUAAGGAAUAUAGAUAUAAGAGAUACGCUUGGGCAUUAGCAAUACAAAAAGUUCAUGGUUAACGUUUCAUCUGCGUUAUACACCACUGCUGGACUUGAUGUUACCUACAUGUUUUGAUCUGAAGAGUCUACUGCACUGAAGAGUAUUCAUCCCAAUCAGCCUUAGAGAAGACUGUUUUGUCUAUGGGAGGACACUGAGGUGCAAAAGAGAAUCUCUUCUUGUGCCCUGGACUGUCUGAAUUGCUUUUAUUUUCUUAUUCUUUCAGUAUAUACAAUAGACCAAAGAGCAAAAUCUAUUUUAAAGUGGACACAAUCUUACUGUUAAGAGAGCUAUCUGGGUUAAAUUGUAGAGUGGUCUCCACAAAGACAUGAUUUCAACUCUCACAAAGCUGAGAUGUUCCUGUACAGCAGAAGUCUUUAUGGAACACUGCAGUAAAAACUAAACUAGAAAAUUACUCUUGAAAACCACAUUAUAAACAAUGAAAUGGAGCAUGGUGAGAAAACAGCGUAUGUUUGAAAAACUACAAACUGUCUACAUGGCACCUUUAUUCCUCUGUACUUAGACUGACUUUCUCGUACUAAAAUAAUUUUCAGUUUUAACCAGUUAAACAUGCCUCUUCUACAGUUCCAUUUUUUGAUAGUUAAAAUUGGAUAAUACAGUAUUUGCAAAGAGCAUGUUUGGUCAUCUGUGGCCUAUGUCUCAUCUGAUACACCAUUUAGCACCAGAAAGCAAAUUAAAGAAAAAAAAAAGUAACACUUGUUUGAAAGAGAUCAUUAAAUGUAUUUUGAAAAGCCUAAAGUUAUAUAUUUAACAGUUUUUAUAUGUUGUAUAUUUGUAGAAAAUCCUAUUUAACAAUUAACGUGGUAACUCUGACGGUCAUGACAAAUGGUUCAGAGUUAAGUUGUGUUUUAUUACUUCAGUUGUCUCUAAAGUGACAGGUGUCAUUUGCUUUCUUCCAUUAGGACAUUCUGGAUGUAAAGCAUGACCAGAGAGGACUCUGUAGAAAAAGCAAAGAACAAUGUUGUUUCUAUUACAUAAAUGCAUUCAACCAUUGCACUGUUGGAAGGCAUUUUUUUUUGUCUUUAUGUACUGGUAAAAAUAGAGUGUAAAAUAUUUUAAUCAUGGCUUUCCAUACCGAGGUUUUUUUUUUUCUCUCUCUCUCUCUCUCUCUCUCUCUCUCCUUCUCCCCACCCUCCUCUACAUAAUACAGUAUAAAGGUCAAUUUGCGGCCUGUUCCUUGACCCAGAUUCAAUGUUUUACCUCAUCGUUAAAAAACCCACUUUUUUGGCAUUAUCAGGUAGUGAAAAGUUAAUGCAGAGACAGCAUAGAAAAGAGGGGAAAUAAAGAUAAAAAGAUCCCUCACUCCCUAUUACUGUACCUUUCUAUAUAUGUCUGGUACAUAUUGAUAUGAUGAAAUCAACAAAUGAGCUUAGCUUCUUCCUGGCAAAUGUAUUCCAGUUUUAACUAUUUCUCCAAGUUUCCACUGUAGUAUACUACCUAAUACUCCAAUUAACUUUUAGUACUAUGCUAGUUCUAUGCUACUAAAGAAAAAUAUAUAGAGACUGUUCAAGCAACCAUAGAUAAAAAAAUACAAAAACAAAAGGUUAUUUUUUUUGUAAGGCCUGUUCCACUAUUCAGGCUUAUUUAAUACACAGGUUGCAGAAACCAUGAAUUAUAGGUGACUGUGUCUUUUGAGUAAAAUAAAUAUAUAAGAAUUUCUUAUUUAAACUUAAGGUUUUCGACCAGUAUCAAAGUAGCAAUUCAAUGCCAGUCACUUGAAAAGUGUUAUGAACUGACUGCACUAUAAAUGACCAAUGUCUGGUUUAAAAUGUCAUGCAAUAAACGAUGGUAAAUACAUUUACUGUACUACUAGAACUCAAGAGCCAGAUCCCUCAC